GAGGAGGGGGAGUCAAAGCCUAACGGCUGAACCAGCAAUUUGGGGGAAUGAAUAGUUUACAUUUGUAAGCUAGUUAUAUUUGGCUGUUUGAUUUAUAAAAAAAGAUAAUUUUUUUUAUAAGUUAUUCAUUUUAACUACUAAUUUUAAAGUUAAUUAAUUUAUCACAUAUACAACAGUAUAUUAAUAAAAGAAAUUUAUUCUUGUGGACAAAAUAAUAUCGAUUUUAUCGAAUAAAGUUCUAGAUAGAAUACUGAUUAUGACAAUUUUCUAUUUAUAUGUCUUGACCAAAAUGCGUGCCAGCAGUCGCGGCAAUACGUAGAAGACUAGUGUUAUUCAUCUUUAAUAGGUUUAAAGGGUACCUAGACGGUAUAAUUAGUCUUAAACACGAUACGGUUAUGCUAGAGUUAUAUAUGAGAAGGUGAGUAUUUAUAGAGGAGAGUUGAAAUUCCCUGAUACUAUAACGACUGGUAACGGCGAAAGCAACCUUUUAUCUAAUAACUGACGUUGAGGGACGAAGGCUCGGGUAGCGAAUAGGAUUAGAUACCCUAGUAGUCCAAGCAGAGAAUUAUGAAUGCCAUAGAUUAGAGUUUUUAGUCUAUAAAUGAAAGUGUAAGCAUUUCACCUCAAGAGUAAUGUGGCAACGCAGGAACUGAAAUCAUUAGACCGUUUCUGAAACCAGUAGUGAAGUAUGUUAUUUAAUUCGUAGUUACGCGAAAAACCUUACCACAAUUUGAAUAUUUAUUUUCUUUUGUAGAGAUUUCGGUAAUAUUUACAAGCGUUGCACGGCUGUCUUCAGUUAAUGUCGUGAGAUAUUGGUUAAUUCCAUUAAAUUAACGGAAACCCUUGCUUUAUUUAAAGUAUUAUUAAUAAAGCAGUUCACUAAUCACAAUGGAUUUGAUAACAGGGACCAAGACAAGUCAUCAUGGCCUAAAUAUUGUGGCUA
This 943-nucleotide ribosomal RNA is filed under the name Caesiodiscus populicola. RNAcentral's name for it is "SSU rRNA". The stretch from base 227 to 943 matches the Rfam family "Bacterial small subunit ribosomal RNA", at positions 1 to 1216 of the family's 1533-position model. Lineage: Eukaryota; Fungi; Ascomycota; Leotiomycetes; Helotiales. The record is from RNAcentral.